GUCGAGCGGUAACAGAUCGCUGUGAUCCCUUCGGGGUGAACUUGACGCUGACGAGCGGCGGACGGGUGAGUAACGCGUAGGAAUCUGCCCAGUAGAGGGGGGAUAGCCCGAGGAAACUCGGAUUAAUACCGCAUACGCCCUACGGGGGAAAGGCCGGGAUCUUCGGACCGGUCACUAUUGGAUGAGCCUGCGUUGGAUUAGCUAGUUGGUAGGGUAAAGGCCUACCAAGGCGACGAUCCAUAGCUGGUCUGAGAGGAUGAUCAGCCACACUGGAACUGAGACACGGUCCAGACUCCUACGGGAGGCAGCAGUGGGGAAUAUUGGACAAUGGGGGCAACCCUGAUCCAGCCAUGCCGCGUGUGUGAAGAAGGCCUUCGGGUUGUAAAGCACUUUCAGUAGUGAGGAAGGGGUAAGUGUUAAUAGCACUUAUCAUUGACGUUAGCUACAGAAGCAGCACCGGCUAACUCCGUGCCAGCAGCCGCAGUAAUACGGAGGGUGCAAGCGUUAAUCGGAAUUACUGGGCGUAAAGCGCGCGUAGGCGGUUUGGUCAGUUGGAUGUGAAAGCCCCGGGCUCAACCUGGGAACUGCAUUCAAUACUGCCAGGCUAGAGUACGGUAGAGGGGGGUAGAAUUCCACG
Molecule: ribosomal RNA, 637 nt
Filed under: uncultured bacterium
Lineage: Bacteria
Description: bacterial SSU rRNA
Rfam family: Bacterial small subunit ribosomal RNA
Source: RNAcentral